RNAcentral lists this ribosomal RNA (435 nucleotides) under uncultured Acidimicrobiales bacterium. RNAcentral's name for it is "bacterial SSU rRNA". It matches the Rfam family "Bacterial small subunit ribosomal RNA", at positions 341 to 792 of the family's 1533-position model. Lineage: Bacteria; Bacillati; Actinomycetota; Acidimicrobiia; Acidimicrobiales. The record is from RNAcentral.
ACGGGAGGCAGCAGUAGGGAAUCUUGCGCAAUGGGCGAAAGCCUGACGCAGCGAUGCCGCGUGCGGGAUGAAGGCCUUCGGGUCGUAAACCGCUUUCAGCAGGGACGAAAUUGACGGUACCUGCAGAAGAAGCCCCGGCCAACUACGUGCCAGCAGCCGCGGUAAUACGUAGGGGGCGAGCGUUGUCCGGAUUUAUUGGGCGUAAAGAGCUCGUAGGCGGUUUGGCAAGUCACGUGUGAAAUCUCCACGCUCAACGUGGAGGGGCCACGUGAGACUGCUAUGACUAGAGUCCGGUAGGGGAGUGUGGAAUUCCCGGUGUAGCGGUGAAAUGCGCAGAGAUCGGGAGGAACACCCGUAGCGAAGGCGGCACUCUGGGCCGGUACUGACGCUGAGGAGCGAAAGCGUGGGGAGCAAACAGGAUUAGAUACCCUGGUA